This is an RNA transcript of Mangifera indica (mango), 1570 nucleotides long. It is a transcript of the gene named upstream activation factor subunit spp27-like, with no coding region annotated. The record is from RefSeq and is a predicted model, not a curated record. The transcript has 9 exons. Lineage: Eukaryota; Viridiplantae; Streptophyta; Magnoliopsida; Sapindales; Anacardiaceae.
GCUCAGCACCCAGAUUUCACUAAAACGGCAGCUUUUGUGACUAAAAACGGCAGUAGAAACGGAAGACGUUAUCAAAUCCCAAUGAUACCCUCACGACCAUAAAAUCAUUUCAUCUCCAUCUUCUCUGCGUCUCUUUGUUUUUCUGUAGCCCGCGAAAUAUCGAAACCAUCGAAACUCGAGAAUGGUGUCGGACUCAGACCUUGUGAACCGGCUACGAGAAAUACUUGGGAGCUCCGACCUGGAUACGGCCACCGCUGCCAGCGUACGGAGGCAGCUAGAGGAAGAGUUUAAAGUGGACUUGUCCGACCGAAAGAAUUUUAUUAGGGACCAAAUUGAUAGUUAUCUCCAAACUUUAGAGGAAGAUGAUAAAGAGGACAAUGUGGAAAAUGAAAACGACGCUGUUGAAGACGAAGAAAGGUCAAACAAUGUGGAUAAAGAAGUGAAGAAACAAGGAGGUGGCUUUAACAAAUUAUGUAGCCUUUCUCCCCAACUUCAGAAGCUUCUUGGAGUUUCUGAAUUGGCUAGAACACAGGUUGUGAAAAAAAUUUGGGAAUAUAUCAAGGAAAAUAAUUUGCAGGAUCCAAAGAAUAAGAAAAAAAUACUAUGUGACAAGUCAUUGCAAGAAAUAUUUCGUGUAAACUCUAUUGAUAUGUUUCAAAUGAACAAAGCCCUGUCAAAGCAUAUUUGGCCAUUGACUGCAGAAAAUGAUAUUGUAGAGCAGAAGAUAGAAGAUGAAGAUAAUCAUGAUUCUUUGUCAGAAGAUAACAAGCCAGAGGAAGAAGAAAAAGAAGUAGAAGAAGAUAAAGAUGAUGAAAACCACAAUGAUGACAAAGAAGAAGAAAAGAAAGAGGAAAAGAGUAAUAAGAAAGGAAGCAAGAAAAAGGGAUCAACUAAGGUGGAUAAAGAUAUCAAGAAAAGAGGAGGUUUUACCAAGUUGUGUAGUCUUUCUCCAGAGCUUCAAACAUUGGUUGGAGUAUCUGAAUUGGCCAGGACAGAAGUUGUUAAGAAACUCUGGGUUUAUAUUAAGGACAAUCAAUUGCAGGAUCCGAAGAAUAAGCAAAAUAUAUUGUGCGAUGAAUCUUUACAUGCUCUUUUUCGUGUUAGUUCUAUCAACAUGUUUCAAAUGAAUAAAGCUCUCUCCAAACACAUAUGGCCGUUGGACAAGGAAGAUGGUAUUUUAUUUUUUUUAAUCUCCUGCUGACUCUAGUCAGAAGGAAAAGCGGUGCAAGCAGGAGGUAGAAGGUGCAGGUGAGCUACAUCAGAAAGAAAAACGACAGAAAAAAGGAGGACCAAAAUGAUAGUAGGAGACAGUUGGGGUCAUUAUAAGCUAAAAGAACUUUGUGAGGGUUACUCUUUCUAGUGCUUCUCAAGCUUAAGGCUUCUGACUAAAAUCUUUCAGGACGAGAGAGUGAGUUGCUUGUUUGUAUAUAAUAUGAGCCCGGUAGAAGUGGGCAAUUUUUGCUCAAAGAGUUCUAAUUCUCCUUUUAGGCUGGUCAGCUGUAUGCAUUCUAUACGUUUCAAACAAAUGGAACCAAAUAUCUUUAAUUAAGUUAUUUCACCAUUCCCCAUA